CACGUAGGGACCAAGCGUUGUCCGGAUUUAUUGGGCGUAAAGAGCUCGUAGGCGGCUUGGUAAGUCGGGUGUGAAACCUCCAGGCUCAACCUGGUGACGCCACCCGAUACUGCCAUAGCUUGAGUUCGGUAGGGGAGCGGGGAAUUCCUGGUGUAGCGGUGAAAUGCGCAGAUAUCAGGAAGAACACCCGUGGCGAAAGCGGCUCUCUGGGACGGUACUGACGCUGAGACGCGAAAGCGUGGGGAGCGAACAGG
This 254-nucleotide ribosomal RNA is filed under the name uncultured bacterium. RNAcentral describes it as "partial 16S ribosomal RNA". It matches the Rfam family "Bacterial small subunit ribosomal RNA", at positions 524 to 776 of the family's 1533-position model. The record is from RNAcentral.